RNAcentral lists this long non-coding RNA (1935 nucleotides) under Varroa destructor (honeybee mite). RNAcentral describes it as "uncharacterized LOC111248485". Lineage: Eukaryota; Metazoa; Arthropoda; Arachnida; Mesostigmata; Varroidae. The record is from RNAcentral.
UAUACUUGUGCUGCAUUCGUUGUUAAACUAUACCCAAUAUUGAUCAAACAACUAAAAAUGUAUUGUUUUUUUUUUUCAUUUUUCUUGUACGUCUUUCCGUUCGGCUCUGCAUACAAACGUAGACAUGAUGGGUGCAGUGUGCGCAUAAUAGAGGUUAUUAUAUGACGGAUGUACAGGAUGUGCACAUAGAAGGCGUGCAGCGUGCCGUGGUCGAAGUUAAAUAUUUGAGCUUUGAGUGCCGAUUGUACCGUGUCGAUUUUCUAGUUCAUAGUGUGAUACUUACUUUUUUUACAAAAAAAUAUCCAAGAUCAAACAGAAUCUACUUAUAACCUAAUCGAUUUGAGCAAAGGAAUCGAAAGAAUCUUAUGGCUAAUACGGAACGGUACAGAAACAUUAACAGCUCGGGAUGACGCUGGCAAACGACCAAACCCACGCCUCUGUUAUUUUGAUGUUGGAACCCACAAUCUACCAUCUACCAUCCUACCCCUGCUUCACUAAGCACGCUUCGCUUGUGGGAGCAUAGAUGCCACUUAAGUGGUACGGAAAACAGCGGUCUCUCGUGCCGUUACUAACGUUUGCGUGCUGCUUAGCUGAAGCCGUCUGGUUGGUUCAGGAGUUUUACACUCCGGUAGGUCGACACUGUCGCUGUGUCGUUUGGGCGGCAAUGCCGUUAUUUAGAACAGGCAGCGACGGUGUCCUGCUUCAUUUAUGGGUGAUAAAGCAACGGUCAUGAACAGGGUGACGAAGGCAUGAAAUGCAGUGUAUUAUUGAUGCUACUUGCAUUUUGGAACCCUCUAUAGAAUUGUGGUAUUUCCGCUUUUACAGUUGUAUAAUUUUAACGCUUUGCAAUAACUCGUUCAACGAGCAAUGGUGGCGGUGUAUUUUUAUAUGUCUACGAAACUUUUGAAGCUCAAUCAGCUGAGUAUUUUUUGUUGCCUGGUGUAUGUAUAAAGUAUCGCUUAAAGCAGCCAUCGACAGAUCGUGUUGUUUUUAGAGCUUAUUCUAAUAACUGUUAACGUACGAACUAGAUUGCUUGAUCUUAUAACCGUCUCACAAAAUAUAAUUAUUAUCGUUCUUGACGACACGAUAAUUUUACUAAUGUCAAAUGAAGAAUCUCCCGAUCACCUGUCAUGCCACUCUUGUGUAAUUGAUGGAAUAACGAAAGAAGAAUCUGAAACGUGUAUAGGCCACCUAUCUUUAUCACAUACCUUCACGCUCCUACCAGAAGUCUCUUUUGCUUUCAAUUCCUCACCAACUGUUAAAGAGGUAGGUGUAAUCUUUAGCAUCUUUAUAAAACGUGGCAUCACUGACUCCCUUUUUGUUGUCCUAUCGAACGUUUUGCAGAAUUCGCUGGCAUCUAUAUUUAACAUUGUUCGAAGUUUCCUUAGUUAUUUCUUUAUUUCAAGAUGUAAAAGUACAAAGAAAAUCAUUGCCUAUUUUGAGUCGAAACUCUUUGCCAAAUGUGGCAUAUGUUAACUUGAAUCCCACUUUUCCAACGCAAAUUUUUUCACAGACCCGCGACCUUGCUAGCUAUAGUAUUUAUAACUAUCUUACCCGUUCCUACGAUGGAGGAAACGUUGUUCUUGUAGCUUUGAUUGAGGUCACAGAGGCACUUGGCAAUGUCUUUUUUAGGAUAUCGUUUUAGGGGAAACGUGUUUUUUUUUUUGAAAAUAAUUUCCGACUCUAACUUUUUCCUGUUGUUUAGUACAGGUCUUAUUUGACCAGCGCCUCUGAACGGUAUAUUGUAAUGCUGUUUCAAAUGAGUAUUCAGUAACAGUAAAGGUUCAGCAAGGUUCAGGUCUAAGCCCAUUUCUAUUCACUCUCUAUAAAAUUCAGGCCGCUCGUUUUGCCGACCAGUUCACUCCCAUUUGACAGAUUGGCAAAGGCAGCUUUGACCUUGAGAAUGAAUUAGCUAAUGAUGAAUGUAGCUAAAAU